GACGAACGCUGGCGGCGUGCCUAAUACAUGCAAGUUGAGCGCUGAAGGUUGGUACUUGUACCCACUGGAUGAGCAGCGAACGGGUGAGUAACGCGUGGGGAAUCUGCCUUUGAGCGGGGGACAACAUUUGGAAACGAAUGCUAAUACCGCAUAAAACCUUUAAACACAAUUUUUAAGUUUGAAAGAUGCCAUUGCAUCACUCAAAGAUGAUCCCGCGUUGUAUUAGCUAGUUGGUGAGGUAAAGGCUCACCCAGGCGAGGAUACAUAGCCGACCUGAGAGGGUGAUCGGCCACAUUGGGACUGAGACAAGGCCCAAACGCCUACGGGAGGCAGCAGUAGGGAAUCUUCGGCAAUGGACGAAAGUCUGACCGAGCAACGCCGCGUGAGUGAAGAAGGGUGUCGGAUCGUAAAACUCUGUUGGUAGAGAAGAACGUUGGUGAGAGUGGAAAGCUCAUCAAGUGACGGUAACUACCCAGAAAGGGACGGCUAACUACGUG
Molecule: ribosomal RNA, 497 nt
Filed under: uncultured bacterium
Lineage: Bacteria
Description: partial 16S ribosomal RNA
Rfam family: Bacterial small subunit ribosomal RNA
Source: RNAcentral